UACAGAGGGUGCAAGCGUUAAUCGGAAUUACUGGGCGUAAAGCGUGCGUAGGCGGAUAUUUAAGUCAGAUGUGAAAGCCCUGGGCUUAACCUAGGAAUUGCAUCUGAUACUGGAUGUCUAGAGUAUGGUAGAGGAUGGCGGAAUUUCCGGUGUAGCGGUGAAAUGCGUAGAUAUCGGAAGGAACACCAGUGGCGAAGGCGGCCAUCUGGGCCAAUACUGACGCUGAGGCACGAAAGCGUGGGGAGCGAACAGGAUUAGAUACCCUGGUAGUCCACGCCGUAAACGAUGAGAACUAGCUGUUGGGUAUAUAAAUAUCAAGUAGCGAAGCUAACGCGAUAAGUUCUCCGCCUGGGGAGUACGGCCGCAAGGCUAAA
This 374-nucleotide ribosomal RNA is filed under the name uncultured bacterium. Its description in RNAcentral is "bacterial SSU rRNA". It matches the Rfam family "Bacterial small subunit ribosomal RNA", at positions 524 to 898 of the family's 1533-position model. The record is from RNAcentral.